Molecule: small RNA, 181 nt
Filed under: uncultured Tannerella sp.
Lineage: Bacteria; Pseudomonadati; Bacteroidota; Bacteroidia; Bacteroidales; Tannerellaceae
Description: Bacteroidales-1 6S-Bacteroidales RNA suggested
Rfam family: Bacteroidales-1 6S-Bacteroidales RNA suggested
Source: RNAcentral
AGCCGCACUUGUUCGAUUGGGAAACUCAUCAUAAAUAUCAGAAUUCCGAGACACGCUCUUGGCACCAAUGGCGGGCUGCAACCUUCGGGUUUGCCUCUCGAGGCACAGCAGAUUACAACGAUGUCAAUGGCACUCAAAUCUUGUCAUUCGGAGUUUGUUCAAUUCCACAGUGCGGCUUUCA